RNAcentral lists this non-coding RNA (110 nucleotides) under Cellulosilyticum lentocellum. Its description in RNAcentral is "Clostridium lentocellum TPP sequence". It matches the Rfam family "TPP riboswitch aptamer (THI element)". From Rfam's summary of the family: Vitamin B(1) in its active form thiamin pyrophosphate (TPP) is an essential coenzyme that is synthesised by coupling of pyrimidine and thiazole moieties in bacteria. The previously detected thiamin-regulatory element, thi box was extended, resulting in a new, highly conserved RNA secondary structure, the THI element, which is widely distributed in eubacteria and also occurs in some archaea. The record is from RNAcentral. RNAcentral also lists the same sequence under 1 other name. Lineage: Bacteria; Bacillati; Bacillota; Clostridia; Lachnospirales; Cellulosilyticaceae.
AAGAAAUAGCAAGGGAGCUUGUGGGAGCAGGCUGAGAGGAAGUCAUCUAACUUCGACCUUUAUAACCUGAUUUGGAUAAUACCAGCGAAGGGAGCAACCAGUGAACUCAU